UGGGAUAUAGCUCAGUUGGUAGAGUGUUUGCCUCACAUGUACAAGGCUACGGGUUCAAUCCCUAAUACAA
Molecule: transfer RNA, 70 nt
Filed under: Marmota monax (woodchuck)
Lineage: Eukaryota; Metazoa; Chordata; Mammalia; Rodentia; Sciuridae
Description: tRNA.Val
Source: RNAcentral